ACGGCAGCGGGGGCUUCGGCCUGCCGGCGAGUGGCGAACGGGUGAGUAAUGCAUCGGAACGUACCCAGUGGUGGGGGAUAGCUCGGCGAAAGCCGGAUUAAUACCGCAUACGCCCUGAGGGGGAAAGUGGGGGAUCUUCGGACCUCACGCCAUUGGAGCGGCCGAUGUCGGAUUAGCUAGUUGGUGAGGUAAAGGCUCACCAAGGCGACGAUCCGUAGCUGGUCUGAGAGGAUGAUCAGCCACACUGGGACUGCGACACGGCCCAGACUCCUACGGGAGGCAGCAGUGGGGAAUUUUGGACAAUGGGCGCAAGCCUGAUCCAGCCAUGCCGCGUGAGUGAAGAAGGCCUUCGGGUUGUAAAGCUCUUUCAGUCGGGAAGAAAAGGCGGGCUCUAACAUAGCCUGUUGCUGACGGUACCGACAGAAGAAGCACCGGCUAACUACGUGCCAGCCGCCGCGGUAAUACA
RNAcentral lists this ribosomal RNA (466 nucleotides) under uncultured bacterium. RNAcentral's name for it is "bacterial SSU rRNA". It matches the Rfam family "Bacterial small subunit ribosomal RNA", at positions 66 to 527 of the family's 1533-position model. The record is from RNAcentral.